RNAcentral lists this ribosomal RNA (665 nucleotides) under Haustrum scobina. RNAcentral describes it as "partial 16S ribosomal RNA". The stretch from base 1 to 505 matches the Rfam family "Bacterial large subunit ribosomal RNA", at positions 1953 to 2925 of the family's 2925-position model. The record is from RNAcentral. Lineage: Eukaryota; Metazoa; Mollusca; Gastropoda; Neogastropoda; Muricidae.
AAGGUAGCGUAAUAAUUUGCCUUAUAAUUGAAGGCUUGUAUGAAUGGUUUGACAAGAAUAUAACUGUCUCUUUGUAAUUAGUUAGAAUUUUAUUUAUGGGUGAAGAAGCCCAUAUUAAAUUGAUAGACGAGAAGACCCUAUUGAGCUUUAAAUAAGUUAGUAAAUUUUAUAUAUUAUAGUAUUAAUAAAAAAUAAGUUAUUAAAAAUUUUGGUUGGGGCGACUGAGGAACAAAUAAAGCUUCCUUUAUUUUUAAAGACAACCAAGUGUUGAUCCAGAAUUUCUGAUUAAAGGAAUUAGUUACCGUAGGGAUAACAGCAUAAUCUUUUUUGAGAGUUCUAAUCGAAAAAAAGGUUUGUGACCUCGAUGUUGGACCAGAAUAUCCCGAAGAUGCAGCUGUCUUCAAAGGUUGGUCUGUUCGACCAUUAAAAUUCUACGUGAUCUGAGUUUAGACCGGCGUGAGCCAGGUCAGUUUCUAUCUUCAAUUUUUAAAGUAACCUUAGUACGAAAGGACCAGUUUAUUGUAAAUUAAUUAUUUGUCUUGAUGAUAUAUAAGAAAAGAUUUAAUUAAUAAAACAUAUUUAUGAUCAGAUUAGCAAAGAUAAUGCGGUUGAUUUAGGAUUAACAGUCAUAGGUGAAAUACCUUUAUUUGAUACAUGAAGAUGGC